CCUACGGGUGGCUGCAGUGGGGAAUAUUGGGCAAUGGGCGCAAGCCUGACCCAGCAACGCCGCGUGAAGGAAGAAGGCUUUCGGGUUGUAAACUUCUUUUAAGAGGGAAGAGCAGAAGACGGUACCUCUUGAAUAAGCCACGGCUAACUACGUGCCAGCAGCCGCGGUAAUACGUAGGUGGCAAGCGUUGUCCGGAUUUACUGGGUGUAAAGGGCGUGCAGCCGGGAAGACAAGUCAGAUGUGAAAUCCCGCGGCUCAACCGCGGAACUGCUUUUGAAACUGUCAAACUAGAGUACGGGAGAGGUAAGAGGAAUUCCUAGUGUAGCGGUGAAAUGCGUAGAUAUUAGGAGGAACACCAGUGGCGAAGGCGUCUUACUGGACCGAAACUGACGUUGAGGCUCGAAAGCGUGGGGAGCAAACAGGAUUAGAUACCCGAGUAGUC
RNAcentral lists this ribosomal RNA (442 nucleotides) under uncultured bacterium. RNAcentral describes it as "partial 16S ribosomal RNA". It matches the Rfam family "Bacterial small subunit ribosomal RNA", at positions 338 to 795 of the family's 1533-position model. The record is from RNAcentral.